This 1462-nucleotide ribosomal RNA is filed under the name uncultured Bordetella sp. RNAcentral's name for it is "partial 16S-23S ribosomal RNA intergenic spacer". It matches the Rfam family "Bacterial small subunit ribosomal RNA". The record is from RNAcentral. Lineage: Bacteria; Pseudomonadati; Pseudomonadota; Betaproteobacteria; Burkholderiales; Alcaligenaceae.
AGGUUUGAUUAUGGCCUGGAUUGAACGCUGGCGGGAUGCUUUACACAUGCAAGUCGAACGGCAGCACGGACUUCGGUCUGGUGGCGAGUGGCGAACGGGUGAGUAAUGUAUCGGAACGUGCCUAGUGGGGAUAACUACGCGAAAGCGUAGUUAAUACCGCGCACACAUUCUUCGGGAAAGCGGGGACCUUCUCGGGCCUCGCACUAUUAGAGCGGCCGAUAUCGGAUUAGCUAGUUGGUGGCAACGGCUCACCAAGGCGACGAUCCGUAGCCGGUUUGAGAGGACGACCAGCCACACUGGGACUGGAUAUUAUCGGGCCCAGACUCCUACGGGAGGCAGCAGUGGGGAAUUUUGAAUGGGGAAACUCAGAUCCAGCCAUCCCGCGUGUGCGAUGAAGGCCUUCUCUGGUUGUAAAGCAACUUUUUGGCAGAGGAAGAAACGGCACGGAUACCCGUGCACUGAUGGUACCUGCAGAAUAAGCACUGGCUAACUACGCUGCGCAGCCGCGGUAAUACGAAAGUGUGCCGUUAAUCGGAAUUACCGGGCGUAAAGCGCGUGCGCAGGCGGUCUGGAAAGAAAGAUGUGAAAUCCCAGAGCUUAACUUUUGGAACUGCAUUUUUAACUACCGAGCUAGAGUGUCAGAGGGAGGUGGAAUUCGCGUAGCAGUGAAAUGCGUAGAUAUGCGGAGGAACACCGGAUGGCGAAGGCAGCCUCCCGGGAUAACACUGACGCUCAUGCACGAAAGGUGGGGAUAAACAGGAUUAGAUACCCUGGUAGUCCACGCCCUAAACGAUGUCAACUAGCUGUUGGGGCCUUCGGGCCUGGUAGCGCAGCUAACGUCGCAGUGAAGCUGACCGCCUGGGGAGUACGGUCGCAAGAUUAAAACCCAAAGGAAUUGAUUGGGACCCGCACGCGAAGAUGACGGAUUAAUUCGAUGCAACGCGAAAACCUUACCUACCCUUGACAUGUCUGGAAUCCCGAAGAGAUUUGGGAGUGCUCGCAAGAGAACCGGAACACAGCAUAUUGUCGUCAGUCGUGUCGUAGAUGCGGUUGCGUCCUGGCAACGAGCGCAACCCUUGUCAUUGCUGCUGAAAGGGCACUUUAACGAGACUGCCGGCGACAAACCGGAGGAAGGUGGUGAUGACGUCAAGUCCUCAUGGCCUUUAUGGGUAGGGCUUCACACGUCAGCGGCGUAAUGGUCGGGACAGAGGGUCGCCAACCCGCGCAGGGAGCCAAUCCUGCAAAACCCGAUUCGUCCGGAUCACAGUCUGCAACCGGACUGCGUGAAGUCGGAAUCGCUAGUAAUCGCGGAUCAGCAUGUCGCGGUGAAUACGUUCCCGGUCUGUACACACCGCCCGUCACACCAUGGGAGUGGGUUUUACCAGAAGUAGUUAGCCUAACCGUAAGGAGGGCGAUUACCACGGUAGGAUUCAUGACUGGGGUGAAGUCAAAAACAAGGCAG